This 94-nucleotide ribosomal RNA is filed under the name Psychrobacter sp. SHUES1. Lineage: Bacteria; Pseudomonadati; Pseudomonadota; Gammaproteobacteria; Moraxellales; Moraxellaceae. The record is from RNAcentral.
GUACCACCUGAUCCCUUCCCGAACUCAGAAGUGAAACAUCAUCGCGCCAAUGGUAGUGUGGCUCCGGCCAUGUGAGAGUAGGUCAUCGUCAGCU